UGAACCUCCAUAACAUUUAUAUUGCAGACCCAUCUGAGCCUUGAGUAUGGGUUCCUUUGAGAGAAGAAUCCUGUGAUUCAUUGGCUUGAAGCAGGAUGAACGGCUAUGAAUUUGAAGAUCUGUGGAAAGGCCACAGGGUCACUGGCUUCAUUGCUGCUGUUGCUUACAAUGUCUCCUAUUUACAUAUGAACUCACUGAGAAUGGCACACAGAGAGUGGCGUGGGGCCACAUAUGUGAAAAUCCUGCAAGCCGAAAGCUAUCACAUUCUACCUUUCAGCUUUCCCUCUCUAGACUUCUUUCCCCACCAGAGGAAACAGAGCACUGAGGAAAAUAAAGGUCAUAUUUGUGGGCAUGGAACAAGAGUAAUUUGGAGAUGCUGUUUCUCAGUGAAGUUGGCACUAAGAAGGACACUGAGUACUCAGGCAGGCUCUCAUGAUCUGUACAGGGAGUGAAAGUGGGAGUGUCAGAAGGAGAACAGAGCUUAGAGAGCUCAACAGAGAUCAAAUGUGCUUGUCCUUAUUGAUUUCUGCAGGUACAUGAAUGAAUGACAGGGCAGAAACUGAAGUCACGUGGGAGAGACACUGGGACCAGAGCUCACAGGCACCUGGAAGAGACAUGUGCAAGGGCAGUGUCUCAGGACAGGCUUCCAGAGUGAGUUAGUGGGGGACUCAGAAACUCUGUUUGAUAGCUUCUGUUUCCCCUCUUGGCUGAGUGACUAAGAGCAAGGGCAAGACAUAGAAUGUAACCCUAACUUGGGCAGACUCCAAUCCGGGGACAAUUCUAUCAGUCUCCCUGAGAGCCUCUCUGCUGGUGCCGUCAAGGAGCUGACCUCCUCAACAAAGUGAAUGUCAAGGACCCAAGGAUUGACUGCAUCUACCUCUUGGUCGUGAUGUAUGAGUUAAUACAUAAAGCCAAUAAAUAUCAACUAUUUUAUUCA
Long non-coding RNA from Psammomys obesus (fat sand rat), 937 nucleotides. RefSeq lists it as uncharacterized. The transcript has 3 exons. NCBI's taxonomy places the organism in Eukaryota, Metazoa, Chordata, Mammalia, Rodentia, Muridae. The record is from RefSeq and is a predicted model, not a curated record.